Molecule: unclassified non-coding RNA, 133 nt
Filed under: uncultured Lecanoromycetes
Lineage: Eukaryota; Fungi; Ascomycota; Lecanoromycetes
Description: sequence contains ITS1
Source: RNAcentral
CUAGUCAGGGUACUCAGUGCCCAAACUUCAACCCUUUGACUUAAUAAAUUUGUUUCUUUGCCGGUUUCGACCGGCAGAAGUUUUCUCAAACUCCUUACAAAAUUGUCUUCUGAAAUAUAAUAAAUAAUAAUUA